GAUGAACGCUGGCGGCGUGCCUAAUACAUGCAAGUCGAGCGAACAGACGAGGAGCUUGCUCCUCUGACGUUAGCGGCGGGCGGGUGAGUAACACGUGGAUAACCUACCUAUAAGACUGGGAUAACUUCGGGAAACCGGAGCUAAUACCGGAUAAUAUAUUGAACCGCAUGGUUCAAUAGUGAAAGACGGUUUUGCUGUCACUUAUAGAUGGAUUCGCGCCGCAUUAGCUAGUUGGUAAGGUAACGGCUUACCAAGGCGACGAUGCGUAGCCGACCUGAGAGGGUGAUCGGCCACACUGGAACUGAGACACGGUCCAGACUCCUACGGGAGGCAGCAGUAGGGAAUCUUCCGCAAUGGGCGAAAGCCUGACGGAGCAACGCCGCGUGAGUGAUGAAGGUCUUCGGAUCGUAAAACUCUGUUAUUAGGGAAGAACAAAUGUGUAAGUAACUAUGCACGUCUUGACGGUACCUAAUCAGAAAGCCACGGCUAACUACGUG
RNAcentral lists this ribosomal RNA (497 nucleotides) under uncultured bacterium. Its description in RNAcentral is "partial 16S ribosomal RNA". It matches the Rfam family "Bacterial small subunit ribosomal RNA", at positions 28 to 507 of the family's 1533-position model. The record is from RNAcentral.